AACGAACGCUGGCGGCGUGCUUAACACAUGCAAGUCGAACGCGAAAGGGGCUUCGGCCCUGAGUAAAGUGGCGCACGGGUGAGUAACGCGUGGAUAAUCUGCCCUGUGAUCUGGGAUAACACUUCGAAAGGGGUGCUAAUACCGGAUAAGACCACGGAGUCUUAGGACUCUGCGGUAAAAGGUGGGGACCUUCGGGCCUACCGUCAUCGGAUGAGUCCGCGUACCAUUAGCUAGUUGGUAGGGUAAGAGCCUACCAAGGCGACGAUGGUUAGCUGGUCUGAGAGGAUGAUCAGCCACACUGGAACUGAGACACGGUCCAGACUCCUACGGGAGGCAGCAGUGGGGAAUUUUGCGCAAUGGGGGAAACCCUGACGCAGCAACGCCGCGUGAGUGAUGAAGGCCUUCGGGUCGUAAAGCUCUGUCAGAGGGGAAGAAGUGUGCGGGUGCUAAUAUCAUCUGCGCUUGACGGUACCCUCAAAGGAAGCACCGGCUAACUCCGUGCCAGCAGCCGCGGUAAUACGGAGGGUGCGAGCGUUGUUCGGAAUUAUUGGGCGUAAAGCGCGUGUAGGCGGUUUGAUAAGUCUGAUGUGAAAGCCCCGGGCUCAACCCGGGAAGUGCAUUGGAAACUGUCAGACUUGAAUACGGGAGAGGGCAGUGGAAUUCCUAGUGUAGGAGUGAAAUCCGUAGAUAUUAGGAGGAACACCGGUGGCGAAGGCGGCUGCCUGGACCGAUAUUGACGCUGAGACGCGAAAGCGUGGGGAGCAAACAGGAUUAGAUACCCUGGUAGUCCACGCCGUAAACGAUGAGUACUAGGUGUUGCGGGUAUUGACCCCUGCAGUGCCGCAGCUAACGCAUUAAGUACUCCGCCUGGGAAGUACGGGCCGCAAGGCUAAAACUCAA
This 900-nucleotide ribosomal RNA is filed under the name bacterium enrichment culture. RNAcentral describes it as "bacterial SSU rRNA". It matches the Rfam family "Bacterial small subunit ribosomal RNA", at positions 28 to 904 of the family's 1533-position model. The record is from RNAcentral.